GGGGAUGUAGCUCAGUUGGUAGAGUGCUUGCCUCGAAUUCACAAGACCCUGAGUUCAGUCCCCAGCACCACCA
Molecule: transfer RNA, 73 nt
Filed under: Ictidomys tridecemlineatus (thirteen-lined ground squirrel)
Lineage: Eukaryota; Metazoa; Chordata; Mammalia; Rodentia; Sciuridae
Description: Spermophilus tridecemlineatus (thirteen-lined ground squirrel) tRNA
Rfam family: tRNA
About the family: Transfer RNA (tRNA) molecules are approximately 80 nucleotides in length. Their secondary structure includes four short double-helical elements and three loops (D, anti-codon, and T loops). Further hydrogen bonds mediate the characteristic L-shaped molecular structure. tRNAs have two regions of fundamental functional importance: the anti-codon, which is responsible for specific mRNA codon recognition, and the 3' end, to which the tRNAs corresponding amino acid is attached (by aminoacyl-tRNA synthetases). tRNAs cope with the degeneracy of the genetic code in two manners: having more than one tRNA (with a specific anti-codon) for a particular amino acid; and 'wobble' base-pairing, i.e. permitting non-standard base-pairing at the 3rd anti-codon position.
Source: Rfam by way of RNAcentral